Long non-coding RNA from Triticum dicoccoides, 2385 nucleotides. RefSeq lists it as uncharacterized. The transcript is spliced from 3 exons. The record is from RefSeq and is a predicted model, not a curated record. NCBI's taxonomy places the organism in Eukaryota, Viridiplantae, Streptophyta, Magnoliopsida, Poales, Poaceae.
CUCCUGCGGCGGUGACCAGCUCGGGUACCUCGCCACGCCUAUAUAUAGGCCAUCUCGAGCCCCUCCUUGCAUUAACAGCGGCCUCAUUGCUAUCCCACACCAUCCCUAGCCUCUCGGCGGAGCUCCAGGAGCUCUCCUCGCUCGUCUCUUCCACCACGGCCGCCGGUCGGCUCCACCUAAAUUUCGGUGAGCCACGCCUCCUCCCUCCGUUACAGCACCACGCGUAGCCUCCCCACUACCCACCAAGCCUCCCACUCCCCUCAACUAGUUGCCGGAGUGGCUGUGGUCGCCGUCCCCAAGAUCGUCCGCCGCCUCCCCUGCUCCCUGUUGCCACGGGCCACGGCCACCCUGCCCUUCCCCUUGCGUGGCUGCUGCACCAGGCGGGUGCGGCACCUUCAUCCGAGGCUGCCAGUGCCCCUACCUCGGCCGGAGAUGGCUUGAGCCGCUGGGGCCAGCGCCGACGUGCGUUCGGCCUCGCCUCUUCUGUUCCUCGUCGGGAGAAAGAAGAAGACAGGGGAUAGAAGGAGUCAAAACCCGGGCCCCACCCCCCAGGGACCUGUUUGUGGAGAAAUCUUUACAGAUUAGUCCCUGGACUUCCACCUCUCGUAUCUUCGCGACCAUAAUUCCGAUUAAGCCCCCUUCGAGAGAGAAACUUUUUCAGUGAUUCGUUCCGCGAGCUUUCCGCACUUCUCCCCGGUGGUUUCUUCAUCCCCAGGCAAGCCACGAUAACCACUUGCAUGAUUGCAUGCAGUGGCCAUGGUUUUCUACUUGAACAUUUAAUAACUAUCAGUUUGGUUUGCUACUGUUAUCGGUGUUAGUAAUGUUUAUAGUUUCAUGUUCAUCUUCUUGCUAUGUUCGGAUGCACCUGGUCAUCUUGUAUUCUUGCUAGUAUUACUUUCGUAUGUCGUGCUUGGUAGUAGUAGUUCAUGUUGGUGGUAGUGAUGCUCAUCUGUUGCAUGUUGGAUAUCUGUUAUCAUUAUCGUUGAUAUGCAUGUUCUGUUGCACCUAGUUGGUUACAUGCUUACUUGGUAGUAUUAUUGACAUGUUCUUGCUUGGUAUUUAUUGUUGAUGUUAGUGGUCAUGUUAUGCUAUGAAUAGUGUUAUGCUUGUGAUAUUCAUGCUCGUCAGUAUACCCUGCUCAUUCGGAUAUAUGAUUUAUUGUUAUUGAUAUGCCCAAUGAUUAUGUUGCACCCCAUGCUCAUGUGGAUAUCAUGCUAAUGCAUUGUAAUCGCAUCAUGUUAUUUUAUUAUGCUUUUUGUUUUAAUUAAUAAAAGUUGUAGUGGGGGUUUUACCCUACUGUUUAUAGUCAUGUUAUUUUAUUAUGGCUCAGCUUAUUGGAUGAUCUUUUCUCCUAAUUGAUUAUGUAUAUAAUUGUUUACUAAGGUGUACAAAUGUUAUAUGUAUUCACUUAUGUAAUUAGAUGUUUAAUUUGGUUACGCAAUCAUGUUCUUAUAAGUAUACAUGUUGUUGUUCUAUUAAAGAGCAUAGAUUUUGUGCAGACAUAGCAAAUCACAUCGCAUGCGAUUAAACUACGGGACCCGUCGGUGAUGAUUUCAGCAAUCACAGACAAUUGUUUACCAACAAGCCUUUGCCAACAAUACAUACAACUUAUUAGCAGGAUUCGUCUAUGUUAUUAUCGGUCUUCUCACAUAAUUCGGAUUACUGACCUGUUUGUCGGAUAUCACACAUGUUGUUAAGUCAAAUCAUUUGUGUUCCGUCUGGAUCAUUGCAAACAGUUCAUCCGAGUGACUUGUAUGCCGUCUAUCGCACAUAUCUGGACCUGGAUAACCGUUUGUGUUUUUUGGCUCAUCACAAAUAGUUCGUAUGGAUCAAAUAUAUGCCAUGUUUCGCACACGCAACUCUUAUCUAAAUCAUGCUUGAUGGAUCCGCCAUCACACACAGUUCAUUUUAUUGGUGACAAUUUUAUUACAAUAUCGUUUGUGAUUCAUGCAUCGCACAUAUUUUGGUCGAAUGGUCCCUUAUACAUGUGUCAUCUUAGGACAUUGCUGCAGUAGUGACCCGAGAUCCACCAGUCUUAGCACCGACAUCGAGCACAUUCAACAUUUUAUGAACAGCAGGCGCGGCGCUACCAGAUCGGGAGAUCCGAGCAAAGGCGUACAAUGUCAGAGACCUGGUCUUACGAUACCAUCCAGACAAGUCAGAUCAUCAUAAACUAUCGGUAAAAUGGGGCAGGUCGUUCAUCAUCAACAAGGUGCUCACUGGAGGGGCAUAUCGUAUUUGGAACACUAGGAUAAUCGCCUGGAGCCGCACCCAUGGAACGCUGCCCGGCUGUGCCAUUUUCAUGAUUAAGAGGAUCUUUUGCUUUUAUUUUUCUCGUACUUAAAAACUUAGUUGAAAGGUACUUUUUGAAUAAAUAUUAGCAUC